This 468-nucleotide ribosomal RNA is filed under the name uncultured bacterium. RNAcentral's name for it is "partial 16S ribosomal RNA". It matches the Rfam family "Bacterial small subunit ribosomal RNA", at positions 28 to 507 of the family's 1533-position model. The record is from RNAcentral.
GACGAACGCUGGCGGCGUGCUUAACACAUGCAAGUCGAACGGAAAGGCCCUGCUUUUGUGGGGUGCUCGAGUGGCGAACGGGUGAGUAACACGUGAGUAACCUGCCCUUGACUUUGGGAUAACUUCAGGAAACUGGGGCUAAUACCGGAUAGGAGCUCCUGCUGCAUGGUGGGGGUUGGAAAGUUUCGGCGGUUGGGGAUGGACUCGCGGCUUAUCAGCUUGUUGGUGGGGUAGUGGCUUACCAAGGCUUUGACGGGUAGCCGGCCUGAGAGGGUGACCGGCCACAUUGGGACUGAGAUACGGCCCAGACUCCUACGGGAGGCAGCAGUGGGGAAUAUUGCACAAUGGGCGGAAGCCUGAUGCAGCAACGCCGCGUGCGGGAUGACGGCCUUCGGGUUGUAAACCGCUUUCGCCUGUGACGAAGCGUGAGUGACAGUAAUGGGUAAAGAAGCGCCGGCUAACUACGUG